UGGCGGCGUGGAUAAGACAUGCAAGUCGAACGGGAGAAUUGCUAGCUUGCUAAUAAUUCUCUAGUGGCGCACGGGUGAGUAACACGUGAGUAACCUGCCCCCAAGAGUGGGAUAGCCCCGGGAAACUGGGAUUAAUACCGCAUAAAAUCGCAAGAUUAAAGCAGCAAUGCGCUUGGGGAUGGGCUCGCGUCCUAUUAGUUAGUUGGUGAGGUAACGGCUCACCAAGGCGAUGACGGGUAGCCGGUCUGAGAGGAUGUCCGGCCACACUGGAACUGAGACACGGUCCAGACACCUACGGGUGGCAGCAGUCGAGAAUCAUUCACAAUGGGGGAAACCCUGAUGGUGCGACGCCGCGUGGGGGAAUGAAGGUCUUCGGAUUGUAAACCCCUGUCAUGUGGGAGCAAAUUAAAAAGAUAGUACCACAAGAGGAAGAGACGGCUAACUCUGUGCCAGCAGCCGCGGUAAUACAGAGGUCUCAAGCGUUGUUCGGAAUCACUGGGCGUAAAGCGUGCGUAGGCGGUUUCGUAAGUCGUGUGUGAAAGGCGGGGGCUCAACCCCCGGACUGCACAUGAUACUGCGAGACUAGAGUAAUGGAGGGGGAACCGGAAUUCUCGGUGUAGCA
Molecule: ribosomal RNA, 622 nt
Filed under: Akkermansia muciniphila
Lineage: Bacteria; Pseudomonadati; Verrucomicrobiota; Verrucomicrobiia; Verrucomicrobiales; Akkermansiaceae
Description: bacterial SSU rRNA
Rfam family: Bacterial small subunit ribosomal RNA
Source: RNAcentral